Molecule: non-coding RNA, 74 nt
Organism: Podarcis lilfordi (Lilford's wall lizard)
Lineage: Eukaryota; Metazoa; Chordata; Lepidosauria; Squamata; Lacertidae
Source: the annotation of a GenBank genome assembly
GCCUGGGUAGCUCAAUCGGUUAGAGCAUGGCGCUGCUAAUGCCAAGGUUGCAGGUUUGAUCCCCGUAUGGGACA